UCCACUACUGCCCUACUUGUAGACCUGAGUGUAUCUUGUCAUUUAAAUAUUAAAUAUUGGCACCCAAAUACUUUCAGAUGCCGCGCGGAAAGUCCUUCUUCCGUUCUGAGGCUGCCAAGUUUCGCAUGGCAGAGCGGAGCUACGGUUCUCAACUCCAGCAAGGCUGUGGCACAGGUCGGCGUCACUUUGUGCGCCCAUGGCCAAAGUCUUCCCUCACUGGAAGACAACGUAAAUUGGUCAUUCCACCCAAGUUUCCAGACAAGAAGUUGGUGCUUGUUCUCGGAUGCUCCCACCUGCGUGCAAUUGCAGAU
Pungitius pungitius (ninespine stickleback) is the source of this 311-nucleotide long non-coding RNA. RefSeq lists it as uncharacterized. NCBI's taxonomy places the organism in Eukaryota, Metazoa, Chordata, Actinopteri, Perciformes, Gasterosteidae. The transcript has 3 exons. The record is from RefSeq and is a predicted model, not a curated record.